RNAcentral lists this ribosomal RNA (428 nucleotides) under uncultured bacterium. RNAcentral describes it as "bacterial SSU rRNA". It matches the Rfam family "Bacterial small subunit ribosomal RNA", at positions 355 to 775 of the family's 1533-position model. The record is from RNAcentral.
UGGGGAAUCUUGGACAAUGGGGGCAACCCUGAUCCAGCGAUGCCGCGUGAGUGAAGAAGGCCUUCGGGUCGUAAAGCUCUUUAGGUUGGGAAGAAGGAUGCGGGAGGAUAAUUUCCGUAUUUUGACGGUACUAACAGAAUAAGCACCGGCAAACUCUGUGCCAGCAGCCGCGGUAAUACAGAGGGUGCGAGCGUUAAUCGGAAUUACUGGGCGUAAAGGGCGCGUAGGCGGUUUAUUGGGUGUGAUGUGAAAGCCUUGGGCUUAACCUGAGAAGUGCAUCGCAAACUGGUGAACUGGAGUAGAUGAGAGGGUGGCGGAAUUUCCGGUGUAGCGGUGAAAUGCGUAGAGAUCGGAAGGAACGUCAAUGGCGAAGGCAGCCACCUGGCAUCAUACUGACGCUGAGGCGCGAGAGCGUGGGGAGCGAACAG